Molecule: long non-coding RNA, 439 nt
Organism: Mytilus californianus (California mussel)
Lineage: Eukaryota; Metazoa; Mollusca; Bivalvia; Mytilida; Mytilidae
Exons: 4
Source: RefSeq, a predicted model, not a curated record
UAACUAACUAGUGAACAUUAUAUUGUAUUACAUAACCAUUAGUUAAAAACAGAAUCCAUGGUCUAGUAGGAAAGGUCUAUGAUGGAAACCUACAGCCUGAAAAGCAUCUUAGAUAUUAAUCUCAGCACAGGUCAACAGAUAGAAGAUAUUGUAUAAUCAGAUUUAAUUUAUUAUGGAAGGAGCAGCAAUGAUGAAACAAGAGCCUCAAGCAAAUGAUGUUCAGACAAGGUAUUCAGAAAUAGCUGUUAUUAAUCAUCUUGAAGACCUCCUGAAAAAGAAAAUUGAUGAUCUGGGUGUAAAAAUUAUGUACCAGGCUGAAUUAUUGGGACGCAAUAAAAUUAAAUUGAAUAGUGACAUUGUGUUUAAGAAGCAAUUAAAAUCCCGAAAAAGGGAUUUAAUGUCUGAAGAAUUAAACAGUUAACAUUGGAAAAUGGACAAA